Long non-coding RNA from Monomorium pharaonis (pharaoh ant), 1204 nucleotides. RefSeq lists it as uncharacterized. Lineage: Eukaryota; Metazoa; Arthropoda; Insecta; Hymenoptera; Formicidae. The record is from RefSeq and is a predicted model, not a curated record. The transcript has 2 exons.
UUUUUGUCAUAAUUUUUGUCAUAGAUGUAUAUUUUUUCCAAACUUUUGACUUUAGAAUUUUCUAUUUAUCACUAUUUUAAGGUUUUACGUAAAAUGUAUUUAUUCAUAUACCGGUGAAUUAAAGCAGCCGAAGCAAAGCUCUUAAAGCAAAGCUUCGUUUCUGCUUGUCCACAAUGUAUCCGUAUUAUGAACUAUCUGGUAUGACGUAUCACAGCGCGAAUAGGCAGACGUAUUGCGACGUCACGUAUUACGCAGAUAGACACGUACGAGUAUAUUACACACGAGAAUCUGACAUCACGCGCAUACCGUGGCAUUUGAUAGAUAAGAUCAUUACACUAUCCGAAGCGAAUGAUAGCAACGCUAUGCAAUUUGCAUUGCAUCAUCUCUUAAUCAUUGCACGAACGAAAUCAACACAUCCGGUGUAUUGACUGUUUCUACCGCUUCAUCUUAUAGACCGUCGCGGCGCAUAUUUUGAAGCAAGUUAUUUUUAACAAAUCGAUUAAUUUUGAAAAAAUUUAUGAUUUGCUAUAUUAAGAAUGGAAUUAAAAAAGAAUAUGUUUUGAAGAUGCAAACACAUAUCUUUGUAACAUAAAGACAAAGUCAAAGUAAGUUUUUUUCACGGAACAUUUAAUAGUAUAGCAAACAAAUCUUGAAUGGUUAAUUAUACUUUAUUUAUACCAAGCUCAAUUUUUGUACUAAUUUUAGACUUUGAAAAAUAAUUUGUUACAUUUACAUGUGAACUAUUGAACCAUUGAUAGAUCUAUUGGCAAAUCUCAUUUGCAGAUAUUUUUAAAACUCUUCACUUGUUCUGUACAAGAUCAAAGGAUCAAGGUUCUUAGCAAAUUUCGCUUUAGUGCGCAUUUUGUUCUCAUCUUUUUACAAAGUGUUCUAGUUUCACCUAUCGGUUAUCAGCUAUUGAAAUGUUAACCGGAACCGCUGUCAGUUGUCUGAAGAUGUUGGAUAAGUAAGUGAAGUUAAAUAAAGGAAACGGCAGAUAGAAGAACCACGAACCAUUUAUUAUGCGACCGGUUCUUUAAGAAAGAACCUCUAACCGAAAUCCAUAAAAAGAGUUUAAUUUUACGUUUGCAAUUUUACAAAUUUGCACAUCAUGUAUUGCACAUAGUUAUAAUUGAAACACGCUUGUCGGAAGCGGAUGUAUAAAAUAUACAUAAAAAGUAGAUAAGAAGGGAAAAAGAGAAAAAAA